Molecule: long non-coding RNA, 595 nt
Organism: Macrobrachium nipponense
Lineage: Eukaryota; Metazoa; Arthropoda; Malacostraca; Decapoda; Palaemonidae
Exons: 2
Source: RefSeq, a predicted model, not a curated record
UAGCAACAAACCAUGAAGACGUGAAGGACAUGGCAUACAACAAUUCCUGAGAUACACGAGGAAUUUUCAUUCAAAACGUCAUAAAAAGGGCAGGUGUGUCAGGUCUCGCCAUGGGGCUGUCCACCCCUGACGUUGCAGCUUGAAUCUUGGCCAUGAAGGAUUUUUGUUUAGCUACAAACUCCGGGUUGUCUCUGCUUCGGGUUGAUCUGGUGUUUGUCGGAGUGUUAGACGUUGAGCGGCUGUUCCGAGCACUGGAUUUGUCAGAGAUGGAGGGGGUUUCAGAGCCGGCUUCAGACAUGGCAUCACGCUCACUGCCAGCAUGUGAGUCAAUGUCACUGAGAUUCUCAUCUUCCUCAACAGGAUCCUGGGAGAUAGACAUGGAUUCAUCUUCUGGUGAGGUCUUGGUUUCUGCUGACAUGGUUACAUUGAGUUAUAGCUGCCUUUUAUAACCUGAAAGGAAUUCUAUCAUUAGUCAAACUCCAAAAUAUCCAAUGGUACAGAAAUAUACACAACAAUAAAAAAUUUUCCUAGUUUACUGUGACCACUAACACUCAAAUGAACUACUGUCCUAAUAAUAAAAGUAUCCCUUCUUAAA